This is a long non-coding RNA of Homo sapiens (human), 953 nucleotides long. RefSeq lists it as uncharacterized. The record is from RefSeq and is a predicted model, not a curated record. The transcript has 3 exons. NCBI's taxonomy places the organism in Eukaryota, Metazoa, Chordata, Mammalia, Primates, Hominidae.
GGAAAUUUGGACACAGACACAGGGAGAAUGCCAGGUAAAGAUUGGAGGUAUGUUGCCACAAGCCAAGCAAUGCCAGAUUGCCAGCAAACUACCAGAAGCUAGGAGGGAAGCAUGUAACAGAUUCUAUAGUGCCUCUUAGAGGGAACCAGCCCUGCCAACACCUUGCUUGAGAUUUUUGGCUUCUGGCCUGCAGAACUAUGAGACAAUAAAAUUCUCUUGCUCAAGUCACACAGUAUGUGAUAUUUGUUAUGGCAGCCCCAGAAAACUAAUACAUCUGAAUAAAUGAAUCAAUCUCUACCUUAUUCAGCAACUAUGACCUUGGCCAUGGGUCUAAGCUUUAGUACUGGGGCUUCUCUCUCUUUAAGGGCAGCUGAAUAUUUUAUGUUUUCCAAGUUUUAGAGGUUGGCAGAAACCCUUCCUUUCUUCUCCCCAACUCUCAUCUCACACUGAGUCACUCUUUCAGGGCUGGGCAUUUAUUUACUAAAAGUUCUAGAUAGCAAUAGAUUUUAUUGUCCAAAUGCAAACUUCUCUUUGCCAUCACCUCAUUUGGAAAUAGCCACCAUAUGACCACCGAUGCAGUGUUAUCCGUUUGGUGUUCCAGCCUCCAGAUGUCUUUUGGGGGAUAGGUUUGCAUCUGUUAGAGAUGAAGGAACUAAGUGGCAUCAUGACUUUUCCUCAUGGAAAUUACUUGGGGGCAAACAAAUUGUUCUGCCUUUCUUCUGAUGCAUUUUAAACUAAGUCAUCCUUUUGUUUCACCAACAGCAAAAACAAGCAUUUUUCAAAAACUGAAGUCAAUCAAAGGAGUAGUAGCAAUAAAGAGGAAGAUUGUUAUCAUGGGGUGAAGAUGAGGCAAUGCCAAGUAUAGUGCCGCGUACAGAGCCUGGAGCAAGGUAUUUCCAGCCUUGUUUUGCAACCGAUAAAAAUGAGACUCAGAGGUGAAUGGCUUCCCAGAG